GUAGGUGGCAAGCGUUGUCCGGAAUUAUUGGGCGUAAAGCGCGCGCAGGCGGUUCUUUAAGUCUGAUGUGAAAGCCCACGGCUCAACCGUGGAGGGUCAUUGGAAACUGGAGAACUUGAGUACAGAAGAGGAAAGCGGAAUUCCACGUGUAGCGGUGAAAUGCGUAGAGAUGUGGAGGAACACCAGUGGCGAAGGCGGCUUUCUGGUCUGUAACUGACGCUGAGGCGCGAAAGCGUGGGGAGCAAACAGGGAUUAGAUACCCUGGUAGUCCACGCCGUAAACGAUGAGAGCUAAGUGUUAGGGGGGUUUCCGCCCCCCUUAGUGCUGCAGCUAACGCAUUAAGCACUCCGCCUGGGGAGUACGGCCGCAAGGCUG
RNAcentral lists this ribosomal RNA (375 nucleotides) under uncultured organism. Its description in RNAcentral is "partial 16S ribosomal RNA". It matches the Rfam family "Bacterial small subunit ribosomal RNA", at positions 527 to 896 of the family's 1533-position model. The record is from RNAcentral.